This 388-nucleotide ribosomal RNA is filed under the name uncultured bacterium. RNAcentral's name for it is "bacterial SSU rRNA". It matches the Rfam family "Bacterial small subunit ribosomal RNA", at positions 28 to 417 of the family's 1533-position model. The record is from RNAcentral.
GACGAACGCUGGCGGCGUGCUUAACACAUGCAAGUCGAGCGGUAAGGCCCUUUCGGGGGUACACGAGCGGCGAACGGGUGAGUAGCACGUGGGUGACCUGCCCUCAGCUCUGGGAUAAGCCUGGGAAACCGGGUCUAAUACUGGAUAUGACUCCAUGACGCAUGUUGUGGGGUGGAAAGCCUUGUGCGGCUGAGGAUGGGCCCGCGGCCUAUCAGCUUGUUGGUGGGGUGAUGGCCUACCAAGGCGACGACGGGUAGCCGGCCUGAGAGGGCGACCGGCCACACUGGGACUGAGACACGGCCCAGACUCCUACGGGAGGCAGCAGUGGGGAAUCUUGCGCAAUGGGCGAAAGCCUGACGCAGCGACGCCGCGUGAGGGAUGACGGCCU